Molecule: unclassified non-coding RNA, 515 nt
Filed under: Hevea brasiliensis (rubber tree)
Lineage: Eukaryota; Viridiplantae; Streptophyta; Magnoliopsida; Malpighiales; Euphorbiaceae
Source: RNAcentral
GGCAUCUAAAACUGGGAUUCAAACUGACAGUUACACAGUCAGUUUAGUUGAUAAUCUCCUACAGAAACCUACUGUAGAGGAACUUGUUAAGAAUCAAGCAUUAUUGGACGAUGGUAGAACAUUGCUCGAUACUGGAAUCAUAGCAGUUAGAGGUGAAGCAUGGCUGGUGCUUGCCAAGCUUGCAUGUUCCUGCCAAACAAUGAUUACAGAACUUCUAAAGAACAGAAAAGAGAUGAGUUUAUAUGAAGAUCUAGUGGCAGCCUGGGUACCUGCAAAACAUGAAUGGCUGCAAGUGCGGCCUUUGGGCAAAGAACUGAUCAGAAAAUUGGGCAAACAAAAGAUGUUUGGCUACUGUGCUUAUGAUUUGUUGUUCCUGCACUUUGGAACCUCAAGUGAAGUUUUGGAUCACUUAAGUGGGACUAGCUCAGAACUUGUAGGUCGAAGACAUUUGUGUUCCAUCCCAGCCACAACUGCAUCUGACAUUGCAGCAUCUGCUGUAGUUCUUUCUAGCAAAA